GACCCGUCUUGAAACACGGACCAAGGAGUUUAUCGUGUGCGCAAGUCAUUGGGUGUUGAAAACCCAGAGGCGCAAUGAAAGUGAAGGCAUCCCUCGCGGAGCCGACGUGCGAGCACGGGCACUGCGGUGUCCGAGUGCAGCAUGGCCCCAUCCUGACUGCUUGCAGUGGGGUGGAGGAAGAGCGUACGCGGUGAGACCCGAAUGAUGGUGAACUAU
Molecule: ribosomal RNA, 216 nt
Filed under: Pratylenchus curvicauda
Lineage: Eukaryota; Metazoa; Nematoda; Chromadorea; Rhabditida; Pratylenchidae
Description: partial large subunit ribosomal RNA
Rfam family: Eukaryotic large subunit ribosomal RNA
Source: RNAcentral